ACGCUCGACACCUACGGGAGACAGCAGUGGGGAAUAUUGCACAAUGGGGGAAACCCUGAUGCAGCGACGCCGCGUGGAGGAAGAAGGUCUUCGGAUUGUAAACUCCUGUUGUUGGGGAAAAAGAGGAUGGUACCCAACAAGGAAGUGACGGCUAACUACGUGCCAGCAGCCACGGUAAUCUGAGCGGGCUGGCAAGGC
Molecule: ribosomal RNA, 198 nt
Filed under: uncultured bacterium
Lineage: Bacteria
Description: partial 16S ribosomal RNA
Rfam family: Bacterial small subunit ribosomal RNA
Source: RNAcentral